UCCGUUGGUGAACCAGCGGAGGGAUCAUUACCGAGUUUACAACUCCCAAACCCAAUGUGAACCAUACCAAACUGUUGCCUCGGCGGGGUCACGCCCCGGGUGCGUCGCAGCCCCGGAACCAGGCGCCCGCCGGAGGGACCAACCAAACUCUUUACUGUAGUCCCCUCGCGGACGUUAUUUCUUACAGCUCUGAGCAAAAAUUCAAAAUGAAUCAAAACUUUCAACAACGGAUCUCUUGGUUCUGGCAUCGAUGAAGAACGCAGCGAAAUGCGAUAAGUAAUGUGAAUUGCAGAAUUCAGUGAAUCAUCGAAUCUUUGAACGCACAUUGCGCCCGCCAGUAUUCUGGCGGGCAUGCCUGUCCGAGCGUCAUUUCAACCCUCGAACCCCUCCGGGGGGUCGGCGUUGGGGAUCGGGAACCCCUCAGACGGGAUCCCGGCCCCGAAAUACAGUGGCGGUCUCGCCGCAGCCUCUCCUGCGCAGUAGUUUGCACAACUCGCACCGGGAGCGCGGCGCGUCCACGUCCGUAAAACACCCAACUUUCUGAAAUGUUGACCUCGGAUCAGGUAGGAAUACCCGCUGAACUUAAGCAUAUCAAUAAGCGGAGGA
This 606-nucleotide ribosomal RNA is filed under the name Trichoderma erinaceum. Its description in RNAcentral is "eukaryotic LSU rRNA". The stretch from base 216 to 369 matches the Rfam family "5.8S ribosomal RNA". The record is from RNAcentral. Lineage: Eukaryota; Fungi; Ascomycota; Sordariomycetes; Hypocreales; Hypocreaceae.